GGAGGGGUGCCGGAGAGGCUGAUCGGGGCGCUCUCGAAAAGCGUUGUGCAGCAAUGCACCGUGGGUUCGAAUCCCACCCCCUCCG
This 85-nucleotide transfer RNA is filed under the name Anaerolinea sp. RNAcentral's name for it is "tRNA-Ser". It matches the Rfam family "tRNA". From Rfam's summary of the family: Transfer RNA (tRNA) molecules are approximately 80 nucleotides in length. RNAcentral also lists the same sequence under 1 other name. Lineage: Bacteria; Bacillati; Chloroflexota; Anaerolineae; Anaerolineales; Anaerolineaceae. The record is from RNAcentral.